UGGGGAAUCUUGCACAAUGGGCGAAAGCCUGAUGCAGCCAUGCCGCGUGAAUGAUGAAGGCCUUAGGGUUGUAAAAUUCUUUCGCCAGGGAUGAUAAUGACAGUACCUGGUAAAGAAGCCCCGGCUAACUUCGUGCCAGCAGCCGCGGUAAUACGAAGGGGGCUAGCGUUGUUCGGAAUUACUGGGCGUAAAGCGCACGUAGGCGGACUUUUAAGUCAGAUGUGAAAUCCCGGGGCUCAACCUCGGAACUGCAUUUGAAACUGGAAGUCUAGAGACCAGGAGAGGUUAGCGGAAUACCGAGUGUAGAGGUGAAAUUCGUAGAUAUUCGGUGGAACACCAGUGGCGAAGGCGGCUAACUGGACUGGUACUGACGCUGAGGUGCGAAAGUGUGGGGAGCAAACAGG
Molecule: ribosomal RNA, 404 nt
Filed under: uncultured bacterium
Lineage: Bacteria
Description: bacterial SSU rRNA
Rfam family: Bacterial small subunit ribosomal RNA
Source: RNAcentral